UUGACCUCGGAUCAGGUAGGGAUACCCGCUGAACUUAAGCAUAUCAAUAAGCGGAGGAAAAGAAACCAACAGGGAUUGCCUCAGUAACGGCGAGUGAAGCGGCAACAGCUCAAAUUUGAAAUCUGCCUCUAGGCCGAGUUGUAAUUUGUAGAAGAUGCUUCGGGUGUGGCACCGGUCUAAGUUCCUUGGAACAGGACGUCAUAGAGGGUGAGAAUCCCGUACGUGACUGGCUGCCUUCGCUCAUGUGAAGCUCUUUCGACGAGUCGAGUUGUUUGGGAAUGCAGCUCAAAAUGGGUGGUAUAUUUCAUCUAAAGCUAAAUAUUGGCCAGAGACCGAUAGCGCACAAGUAGAGUGAUCGAAAGAUGAAAAGCACUUUGGAAAGAGAGUUAAACAGUACGUGAAAUUGUUGAAAGGGGAGCGCUUGCAACUAGACUUGCGCGCCGUCGAUCAUCCGAGGUUUUCCCCGGUGCACUCGGCGGUGCUCAGGCCAGCAUCGGUUUCGGUGGUUGGAUAAAGGCCUUGGGAAUGUGGCUCCUCUAGGAGUGUUAUAGCCCUCGGUGCAAUGCAGCCUACCGGGACCGAGGACCGCGCUCGGCUAGGAUGCUGCGUA
Molecule: ribosomal RNA, 610 nt
Filed under: uncultured Leotiomycetes
Lineage: Eukaryota; Fungi; Ascomycota; Leotiomycetes
Description: eukaryotic LSU rRNA
Rfam family: Eukaryotic large subunit ribosomal RNA
Source: RNAcentral